RNAcentral lists this RNase P RNA (420 nucleotides) under Acaryochloridaceae cyanobacterium SU_2_1. Its description in RNAcentral is "RNase P RNA component class A". It matches the Rfam family "Bacterial RNase P class A". From Rfam's summary of the family: Ribonuclease P (RNase P) is a ubiquitous endoribonuclease, found in archaea, bacteria and eukarya as well as chloroplasts and mitochondria. Its best characterised activity is the generation of mature 5'-ends of tRNAs by cleaving the 5'-leader elements of precursor-tRNAs. Lineage: Bacteria; Bacillati; Cyanobacteriota; Cyanophyceae; Acaryochloridales; Acaryochloridaceae. The record is from RNAcentral.
AAGAGCAGGAGUAGGUAGUUGCGGACUUGUAGCCACAGGUCUGAGGAAAGUCCGGACUCUCGAAAGACCAGACUUGCUGGGUAACGCCCAGUGCGGGUGACCGUGAGGAGAGUGCCACAGAAAUAUACCGCCGAUGGCACCUUGGGGAGUGUGAUAACCCCUCAAGGUAUACAGGUAAGGGUGCAAAGGUGCGGUAAGAGCGCACCAGCAACGUCGAGAGGCGUUGCUCGGUAAACCCCGGUCGAGAGCAAGGCAAUGAGAACAAUGGUUGGUCUUUUCCCUGUUCUUGCUUGAGAAGCCGCUAGAGGCGUUCUGGUAACAGGCGUCCCAGAUAGAUAACUACCCCUCGACGGACAGUCGCAUUGUUUUGCUCUUGAUCCGUCGAGAGAACAGAACCCGGCUUACCGCCUGCUCUUUUCU